RNAcentral lists this ribosomal RNA (487 nucleotides) under Proteus mirabilis. RNAcentral describes it as "bacterial LSU rRNA". It matches the Rfam family "Bacterial large subunit ribosomal RNA", at positions 455 to 771 of the family's 2925-position model. The record is from RNAcentral. Lineage: Bacteria; Pseudomonadati; Pseudomonadota; Gammaproteobacteria; Enterobacterales; Morganellaceae.
AUCCUCCAAGGCUAAAUACUCCUGAUUGACCGAUAGUGAACCAGUACCGUGAGGGAAAGGCGAAAAGAACCCCGGCGAGGGGAGUGAAAAAGAACCUGAAACCGUGUACGUACAAGCAGUAGGAGCCCCAUCACUCAAGUGCCUCGCACUGAGUGAUGCAAUAACAUCACCGAAAAUAGCGCCGAAUUUGCUAACAAGGUUGGUCAUUUUUUCAAGCCGUCGCGCAGUGUACCUAGAAGUACACGAGCAACGGAAGUUAAAAAAUCGGGCAAGAUUGAACGCAAAGGCAAGCGGGACAUUUGAGGAUGGGGUGACUGCGUACCUUUUGUAUAAUGGGUCAGCGACUUAUAUUCUGUAGCGAGGUUAACCGUAUAGGGGAGCCGUAGGGAAACCGAGUCUUAACUGGGCGAAUGAGUUGCAGGGUAUAGACCCGAAACCCGGUGAUCUAUCCAUGGGCAGGUUGAAGGUUGGGUAACACUAACUGGAG